UUUCGCGGGCACUCUGUUGCGUGGUCUUGAGCACUUUCAUAUAUGUAGCCGAUAUUGUUGAGGCGAUAGUAGGGUCGGUCAGGGUCGGUCUCCCUGAUUCUUGCCACAGUACUGACAAGUCCUACUGCGUUCUAUUGCAAGAGCCUGAGAAAGAGAUUAAGUCAUAGGCCUAGGUCUUUUGUUCUACUGAAUCAAUGCAAUAAGUGUUGGUCUGCGGUGUGGAACUAAGGGUCUGGAACUACCCACUGCUAGAGGGAAGAUACGAAUGUUCCUAUCUAUUAGUUGUGGCUUAGCCAGAACUACUAAUUAGGUGUUGAGCUCGAAUACAUACAACUGUUGUCUUAUCUCACGGAGGCCCCACUCAAACUUCCUUACCUUUCUGCCUUCAUCCAUCAUACUCUCAGGAGAGUACUGACCCAACUUUAAGAACUUUCGGGCAUAUUCUGAUACUAUCAUGUCACAUUGGACAAGGUGUGUAAACUCUAUUUUCUUCAAAUACUGAAGAUACUCCAGGAGGUACUCUGCAUUGAAGGCUACCAAAAAUUGUUUCCAAGUGAUUGGAAUGGAUAGGGUGGCCUCCUUCAACUGCCACCAUCGUCCUACCUCACCCACGAGCAUGUAGGUGACAAGUACAACCUUCUGUUCGGGAACCACCACAAGAGUUAUCAAGGCUUUCUCUGUCUUUGCUGAUCAGUACUCGAUCUCUUCGAAUGAGUAUGUCUCUGCAAAAGUAGAUGGAUUUAGUCUUCUGUAUCUCUCAAUGUAAUAUGUGUCUAUCAUGAGUGGAACAGGAUGUCGUUAAAGUGACUGAAUUGUGCUAAGGAGGGACCGGGUGGUCCUAUGGCAGUACCUAGUUGUAUGGUGGGGGCAUCGGAUUAUACUAUGGCGGUGUCGGAUGAUAUAGUGGAGGAGUAAGACUGUAUUAGGGUGGCACCAGAUCUUUUUAUUACAGAGGUGGCUCAAACUGUCGUAGUGGUGGAGGGUCAAAC
This 989-nucleotide long non-coding RNA is filed under the name Carica papaya (papaya). RNAcentral's name for it is "long non-coding RNA (CPAP_LNC003134)". Lineage: Eukaryota; Viridiplantae; Streptophyta; Magnoliopsida; Brassicales; Caricaceae. The record is from RNAcentral.